CACGUGUUCAUUUAAGUGUCACCACACUUUAACUUGUGAGAUCAGCUACUUACUUCACAAGUAAGAAAUGCCACACGUGAUGGUCUAUCCGUAAUAACGAUAUCCGUAUCUCGUUAUUACUUACGACCACGGAUGAUUUAAGAUUCAAUCAGAUGUAAUUUGUAUCUCACAAUCACAACUCCUUGUGAUUAAUAAAUUACAAAUAUUUGAAUCUACGGACUCUAUUAUUUAUUUAAUUGUCUAUUAAUUAAAUAAUAGAUCUGCCAUUUUAAUUGCAUUAAUUAUAUAUAAAAGUAUUUAUGUCCAAAGUCGAUUGGACCUAGGGCAUAAUACUUACAAACUCCCACUUGCACUAGAUCCAAUCACUUAUGUAUCAAAUAUCAUAAGUCUACAUGACGAUCAUGUUUAUACUACGACAACUCUUUGUCAGUGGAUCUGCAAUUUUAUUAAAUGUGGAAAUUUGCUCUUCUCUUUACGUCAUUUCUAUGUAUUAUCUCUCUGAGAUUGUACCAUUUGAAUACAUGUUUGGAUCAUUGAUGAGACCUUAGUUCCUUUGUUUUCGUAAUGGCUCUAUUGUUAUCACAAUACUAUUGUAUGUGAUCAACAAUAUUAGGAACUACUUCAAGUUCAUUUAUGAACAUCAUGAUCCAUAUUGCAACUCUUUGCUACUUCUAAAGUAUCCAUGUAUUAGGUUUCUACUAUUAAAUCAACGGUUACUCCACGUUUGGAACCUUUCCAACAUACCGCUUAAGAGUAAACCAGUUUCUCCAUAUGAAAUCUUCUCAAGAUUUCAUCUAUGUAAAUUGGGAUGAGUUAAGCAAUCUUCUAGAUCUACCUCUAUAGAUCAAGUUGCUUAUCCCAUAUCAUUUAUGAAUAAAUCUUUUAACAACCAUUAUUUCAACGAUUGAAAUAUAGGGAUG
Molecule: long non-coding RNA, 920 nt
Filed under: Olea europaea (common olive)
Lineage: Eukaryota; Viridiplantae; Streptophyta; Magnoliopsida; Lamiales; Oleaceae
Description: long non-coding RNA (OEUR_LNC008743)
Source: RNAcentral